GAUGAACGCUGGCGGCGUGCCUAAUACAUGCAAGUCGAGCGAACGGACGAGAAGCUUGCUUCUCUGAUGUUAGCGGCGGACGGGUGAGUAACACGUGGAUAACCUACCUAUAAGACUGGGAUAACUUCGGGAAACCGGAGCUAAUACCGGAUAAUAUUUUGAACCGCAUGGUUCAAAAGUGAAAGACGGUCUUGCUGUCACUUAUAGAUGGAUCCGCGCUGCAUUAGCUAGUUGGUAAGGUAACGGCUUACCAAGGCAACGAUGCAUAGCCGACCUGAGAGGGUGAUCGGCCACACUGGAACUGAGACACGGUCCAGACUCCUACGGGAGGCAGCAGUAGGGAAUCUUCCGCAAUGGGCGAAAGCCUGACGGAGCAACGCCGCGUGAGUGAUGAAGGUCUUCGGAUCGUAAAACUCUGUUAUUAGGGAAGAACAUAUGUGUAAGUAACUGUGCACAUCUUGACGGUACCUAAUCAGAAAGCCACGGCUAACUACGUGCCAGCAGCCGCGGUAAUACGUAGGUGGCAAGCGUUAUCCGGAAUUAUUGGGCGUAAAGCGCGCGUAGGCGGUUUUUUAAGUCUGAUGUGAAAGCCCACGGCUCAACCGUGGAGGGUCAUUGGAAACUGGAAAACUUGAGUGCAGAAGAGGAAAGUGGAAUUCCAUGUGUAGCGGUGAAAUGCGCAGAGACAUGGAGGAACACCAGUGGCGAAGGCGACUUUCUGGUCUGUAACUGACGCUGAUGUGCGAAAGCGUGGGGAUCAAACAGGAUUAGAUACCCUGGUAGUCCACGCCGUAAACGAUGAGUGCUAAGUGUUAGGGGGUUUCCGCCCCUUAGUGCUGCAGCUAACGCAUUAAGCACUCCGCCUGGGGAGUACGACCGCAAGGUUGAAACUCAAAGGAAUUGACGGGGACCCGCACAAGCGGUGGAGCAUGUGGUUUAAUUCGGAGCAACGCGAAGAACCUUACCAAAUCUUGACAUCCUUUGACAACUCUAGAGAUAGAGCUUUCCCCUUCGGGGGACAAAGUGACAGGUGGUGCAUGGUUGUCGUCAGCUCGUGUCGUGAGAUGUUGGGUUAAGUCCCGCAACGAGCGCAACCCUUAAGCUUAGUUGCCAUCAUUAAGUUGGGCACUCUAAGUUGACUGCCGGUGACAAACCGGAGGAAGGUGGGGAUGACGUCAAAUCAUCAUGCCCCUUAUGAUUUGGGCUACACACGUGCUACAAUGGACAAUACAAAGGGCAGCGAAACCGCGAGGUCAAGCAAAUCCCAUAAAGUUGUUCUCAGUUCGGAUUGUAGUCUGCAACUCGACUACAUGAAGCUGGAAUCGCUAGUAAUCGUAGAUCAGCAUGCUACGGUGAAUACGUUCCCG
Molecule: ribosomal RNA, 1367 nt
Filed under: uncultured bacterium
Lineage: Bacteria
Description: 16S ribosomal RNA
Rfam family: Bacterial small subunit ribosomal RNA
Source: RNAcentral